Molecule: ribosomal RNA, 1420 nt
Filed under: human gut metagenome
Description: bacterial LSU rRNA
Rfam family: Bacterial large subunit ribosomal RNA
Source: RNAcentral
GCUAAGGUCCCAAAAUAAUUGUUAAGUGGAAAAGGAUGUGGGGUUGCACAGACAACUAGGAUGUUAGCUUAGAAGCAGCUAUUCAUUCAAAGAGUGCGUAAUAGCUCACUAGUCGAGUGACCCUGCGCCGAAAAUGUACCGGGGCUAAAACAAUUUACCGAAGCUGUGGAUACCUUUAUAGGUAUGGUAGGAGAGCGUUCUAUGUGUGGAGAAGGUGUACCGUGAGGAGCGCUGGAACGCAUAGAAGUGAGAAUGCCGGUAUGAGUAGCGAAAGACAGGUGAGAAUCCUGUCCACCGUAAGACUAAGGUUUCCAGGGGAAGGCUCGUCCGCCCUGGGUUAGUCGGGACCUAAGGAGAGACCGAAAGGUGUAUCCGAUGGACAACAGGUUGAUAUUCCUGUACUAGAGUAUGUAGUGAAGGAGGGACGCAGUAGGCUAACUAAAGCGUGCGACUGGAAGUGCACGUCUAAGCAGUGAGGUGUGAAUUGAGUUAAAUGCUUAAUUCUAUAACAUUGAGCUGUGAUGGGGAGCGAAGUUUAGUAGCGAAGUUAGUGACGUCACACUGCCAAGAAAAGCUUCUAGCGUUUAAACAUACUCUACCCGUACCGCAAACCGACACAGGUAGUCGAGGCGAGUAGCCUCAGGUGAGCGAGAGAACUCUCGUUAAGGAACUCGGCAAAAUGACCCCGUAACUUCGGGAGAAGGGGUGCUGGCUUAAAGUCAGCCGCAGUGAAUAGGCCCAAGCAACUGUUUAUCAAAAACACAGCUCUCUGCUAAAUCGUAAGAUGAUGUAUAGGGGGUGACGCCUGCCCGGUGCUGGAAGGUUAAGAGGAGUGCUUAGCGUAAGCGAAGGUAUGAAUUGAAGCCCCAGUAAACGGCGGCCGUAACUAUAACGGUCCUAAGGUAGCGAAAUUCCUUGUCGGGUAAGUUCCGACCCGCACGAAAGGCGUAAUGAUUUGGGCACUGUCUCAACGAGAGACUCGGUGAAAUUUUAGUACCUGUGAAGAUGCAGGUUACCCGCGACAGGACGGAAAGACCCCAUGGAGCUUUACUGCAGUUUGAUAUUGAGUGUCUGUGCCACAUGUACAGGAUAGGUAGGAGCCAUUGAGAUCGGGACGCCAGUUUCGAUGGAGGCGUUGUUGGGAUACUACCCUUGUGUUAUGGCCACUCUAACCCGGUAGGUUCAUCAUCUACGGAGACAGUGUCUGACGGGCAGUUUGACUGGGGCGGUCGCCUCCUAAAAGGUAACGGAGGCGCCCAAAGGUUCCCUCAGAAUGGUUGGAAAUCAUUCGCAGAGUGUAAAGGUAUAAGGGAGCUUGACUGCGAGAGCUACAACUCGAGCAGGGACGAAAGUCGGGCUUAGUGAUCCGGUGGUUCCGUAUGGAAGGGCCAUCGCUCAACGGAUAAAAGCUACCCUGGGG